This 497-nucleotide ribosomal RNA is filed under the name uncultured bacterium. RNAcentral's name for it is "partial 16S ribosomal RNA". It matches the Rfam family "Bacterial small subunit ribosomal RNA", at positions 28 to 507 of the family's 1533-position model. The record is from RNAcentral.
GAUGAACGCUGGCGGCGUGCCUAAUACAUGCAAGUCGAGCGAACAGACGAGGAGCUUGCUCCUCUGACGUUAGCGGCGGACGGGUGAGUAACACGUGGAUAACCUACCUAUAAGACUGGGAUAACUUCGGGAAACCGGAGCUAAUACCGGAUAAUAUAUUGAACCGCAUGGUUCAAUAGUGAAAGACGGUUUUGCUGUCACUUAUAGAUGGAUCCGCGCCGCAUUAGCUAGUUGGUAAGGUAACGGCUUACCAAGGCAAGGAUGCGUAGCCGACCUGAGAGAGUGAUAGGCCACACUAGAGCUGGGACACGCUCCAGACUCCUACGGGAGGCACCAGUAGGGAAUCUUACGCAGUAGGCGAAAGCUUGACGGAGCAACGCCGCGUGUGUGAUGAAGGUCUUCGGAUCGUAAAACUCUGUUAUUAGGGAAGAACAAAUGUGUAAGUAACUAUGCACGCCUUGACGGUACCUAAUCAGAAAGCCACGGCUAAUUACGUG